GACGAACGCUGGCGGCGUGCUUAACACAUGCAAGUCGAACGGAAAGGCCCUGCUUUUGUGGGGUGCUCGAGUGGCGAACGGGUGAGUAACACGUGAGUAACCUGCCCUUGACUUUGGGAUAACUUCAGGAAACUGGGGCUAAUACCGGAUAGGAGCUCCUGCUGCAUGGUGGGGGUUGGAAAGUUUCGGCGGUUGGGGAUGGACUCGCGGAUUAUCAGCUUGUUGGUGGGGUAGUGGCUUACCAAGGGUUUGACGGGUAGCCGGCCUGAGAGGGUGACCGGCCACCUUGGGACUGAGAGACGGCCCAGAAUCCUACGGGAGGCAGCAGUGGGGAAUAUGGCACAAUGGGCGGAAGCAUGAUGCAGCAACCCCGCGUGCGGGAUGACGGCCUUCGGGUCGUAAACAGCUUUCGCCUGUGACGAAGCGUGAGUGACGGUAAUGGGGAAAGAAGCACCGGCAAACUACGU
Molecule: ribosomal RNA, 467 nt
Filed under: uncultured bacterium
Lineage: Bacteria
Description: partial 16S ribosomal RNA
Rfam family: Bacterial small subunit ribosomal RNA
Source: RNAcentral